This is a long non-coding RNA of Gadus chalcogrammus (walleye pollock), 725 nucleotides long. RefSeq lists it as uncharacterized. Lineage: Eukaryota; Metazoa; Chordata; Actinopteri; Gadiformes; Gadidae. The record is from RefSeq and is a predicted model, not a curated record. The transcript has 3 exons.
AGACCAAAUACAAUGUAUCAUUCGGAUGAGGAGCCCCAGGAUGUGAGCAGAUUCGCCCAAGCCCCCAAAGUGUUAUUUACAGACAAACCAGCAACCCAACAAGCCAGUCAGAACAGCCAACCAUCACCUCCAAGGAUAUAUUAUAGCCUCCUACGCCCCAGUUUCCCUAUCCCAAUGUCCCUAUCCCAGCAUCGUUCCCAGGAGAUUAAUUGGCCUUCCCUCCACUCGGUCCAAUGCCUCUACUCCAGAGGCCAUCUCCUGAAGGGGCCUGCGUCUGCAGUAUCCCGUUGAACCGGGGAGGAGUGGACGCAAAUUGGAGCCUGUAGCCGGCGGUUAGUUUUUCUGAUGCAAGACAAUCAAAGCCACUGUUGAGCCCGGCCAGACAGCGACCCCAGCUUCGCUGGUUCCUCUGUCGUGCCGGGCCGAAGGGGAAUGACGAUCAUGCCCACCAGGCAACGUUUUAUAACACUCUGUUCUUUUUGUAUGUUUAUAAUUGUUUCUGUUUUCUAAUGAAGCUGCGCUCUCGACGCUCGCUGGGAAACAUUUUUAAUAAACUCUCUAUUGGGGUAGGCGGACAUUCCGUGUUCUUUUUGGAAAAACCUGGGAGCCGAGUCAAUAUCGCUUGCAAAUCACUUUAUUUGGUAAAGGUUUUUUAUGGUAUCUAUGCAGUGGCGACUGGUCAUUAGGGGCAAGUGGGGCUCCACCUCACCUACUCUCACAAGAAA